AUGAUGAAAAUAAAAUGAUCAUGCAUCUGAUUUCAAAAAUAAAAUUUAACUAGUGAUCGGAUCACCUACCUAAAUUGCUAAACUCCUUCAGAUCUGGAUCUGAAGAUGUCUGUAGGUUCCAUUGAAAGCCAUACAUGCAUUUGGUCUCUAUGGGUUUGUAUAUAGAGUUGAAGCAGAUUGGAAGUGCCAAAGACCACCAAGGUGCUAGCUCUCUUUUAGAUCUCCACUUCACUAGUUUGGAUCUGAUCUCCUUCUUUGACCAUUGUAGAAGAGUAUCAAGGAUCUAUGCACAGACUGUUAUCGUGCAAGACUGGAGGAAG
Molecule: long non-coding RNA, 320 nt
Filed under: Elaeis guineensis (African oil palm)
Lineage: Eukaryota; Viridiplantae; Streptophyta; Magnoliopsida; Arecales; Arecaceae
Description: long non-coding RNA (EGUI_LNC048843)
Source: RNAcentral